RNAcentral lists this ribosomal RNA (386 nucleotides) under Escherichia coli. Its description in RNAcentral is "partial 23S ribosomal RNA". It matches the Rfam family "Bacterial large subunit ribosomal RNA", at positions 614 to 1000 of the family's 2925-position model. The record is from RNAcentral. Lineage: Bacteria; Pseudomonadati; Pseudomonadota; Gammaproteobacteria; Enterobacterales; Enterobacteriaceae.
AAUGGGUCAGCGACUUAUAUUCUGUAGCAAGGUUAACCGAAUAGGGGAGCCGAAGGGAAACCGAGUCUUAACUGGGCGUUAAGUUGCAGGGUAUAGACCCGAAACCCGGUGAUCUAGCCAUGGGCAGGUUGAAGGUUGGGUAACACUAACUGGAGGACCGAACCGACUAAUGUUGAAAAAUUAGCGGAUGACUUGUGGCUGGGGGUGAAAGGCCAAUCAAACCGGGAGAUAGCUGGUUCUCCCCGAAAGCUAUUUAGGUAGCGCCUCGUGAAUUCAUCUCCGGGGGUAGAGCACUGUUUCGGCAAGGGGGUCAUCCCGACUUACCAACCCGAUGCAAACUGCGAAUACCGGAGAAUGUUAUCACGGGAGACACACGGCGGGUGCUA